Molecule: ribosomal RNA, 403 nt
Filed under: uncultured bacterium
Lineage: Bacteria
Description: bacterial SSU rRNA
Rfam family: Bacterial small subunit ribosomal RNA
Source: RNAcentral
GAUGAACGCUGGCGGCGUGCCUAAUACAUGCAAGUCGAACGCAUUGUGGUUGAAAUGAUAUGAAGAACUUGUUCAGAUUUGAUUUUCAACAUUGCAAUGAGUGGCGAACGGGUGAGUAACACGUGGGAAACCUACCUCUUAGCAGGGGAUAACAUUUGGAAACAAAUGCUAAUACCGUAUAAUAAUUAAAACCGCAUGGUUUUAGUUUAAAAGAUGGUCUUGCUAUCACUAAGAGAUGGUCCCGCGGUGUAUUAGUUAGUUGGUGAGGUAAUGGCUCACCAAGACAAUGAUACAUAGCCGAGUUGAGAGACUGACCGGCCACAAUGGGACUGAGACACGGCCCAUACUCCUACGGGAGGCAGCAGUAGGGAAUCUUCCACAAUGGACGAAAGUCUGAUGGAGC